AAUGCAGCGACAUUCUGGACAAUACCUGUGGAUGUAUCAAUGCACUUCCUCCAAAUAACACUUACUGCCAGCCACUAUCAGAUCUUGACUCCUGCCCAACACAACCACCAACAACUGAGCCAACUGUUACAACACCUCUGAUCAUUA
Molecule: long non-coding RNA, 147 nt
Organism: Fundulus heteroclitus (mummichog)
Lineage: Eukaryota; Metazoa; Chordata; Actinopteri; Cyprinodontiformes; Fundulidae
Exons: 3
Source: RefSeq, a predicted model, not a curated record